RNAcentral lists this transfer RNA (94 nucleotides) under Terriglobia bacterium. Its description in RNAcentral is "tRNA-Ser". It matches the Rfam family "tRNA". From Rfam's summary of the family: Transfer RNA (tRNA) molecules are approximately 80 nucleotides in length. Their secondary structure includes four short double-helical elements and three loops (D, anti-codon, and T loops). Lineage: Bacteria; Pseudomonadati; Acidobacteriota; Terriglobia. The record is from RNAcentral.
GGAGAGGUGGCCGAGAGGCUGAAGGCGGCGGUUUGCUAAACCGUUGUACGAGCUAACACUUGUACCGGGGGUUCGAAUCCCCCCCUCUCCGCCA